GUGCCAGCAGCCGCGGUAAUACGGAGGGUGCAAACGUUGCUCGGAAUCAUUGGGCGUAAAGCGCACGUAGGCGGCCCAGCAAGUCGGGUGUGAAAGCCCUCGGCUCAACCGAGGAAGUGCAUUCGAAACUACUGGGCUUGAAUACUGAAGAGGGUCGCGGAAUUCCCGGUGUAGAGGUGAAAUUCGUAGAUAUCGGGAGGAACACCAGUGGCGAAGGCGGCGACCUGGGCAGAUAUUGACGCUGAGGUGCGAAAGCGUGGGGAGCAAACAGGAUUAGAAACCCCGGUAGUCC
RNAcentral lists this ribosomal RNA (292 nucleotides) under uncultured bacterium. RNAcentral describes it as "partial 16S ribosomal RNA". It matches the Rfam family "Bacterial small subunit ribosomal RNA", at positions 505 to 796 of the family's 1533-position model. The record is from RNAcentral.